CACGACCAAGUAUCACAUUCUACCCAAAUGAUGGAAGCAAGGACAAGCUUUUUACUAAAGAUAUUGAGCCACGACCAAGUGCCACAUUCUACCCAAAUGAUGAGAGCAAGGACAGGUUUUUUACUAAAGAUAUUGAGCCACGACCAAGUCUCACAUUCUACCCAAAUGAUGAUACCAAGAACAAGCUUUUUACUAAAGAUAUUGAGCCACGACCAAGUGCCACAUUCUACCCAAAUGAUGAGAGCAAGGACAAGUUUUUUAUUAAAGAUAUUGAGCCACGACCAAGUGCCACAUUCUACCCAAAUGAUGGAAGCAAGGACAAGCUUUUUACUAAAGAUAUUGAGCCACGACCAAGUCUCACAUUCUACCCAAAUGAUGAUACCAAGAACAAGCUUUUUACUAAAGAUAUUGAGCCACGACCAAGUGCCACAUUCUACCCAAAUGAUGAGAGCAAGGACAGGUUUUUUACUAAAGAUAUUGAGCCACGACCAAGUCUCACAUUCUACCCAAAUGAUGAUACCAAGAACAAGCUUUUUACUAAAGAUAUUGAGCCACGACCAAGUGCCACAUUCUACCCAAAUGAUGAGAGCAAGGACAAGUUUUUUAUUAAAGAUAUUGAGCCACGACCAAGUGCCACAUUCUACCCAAAUGAUGAUACCAAGAACAAGCUUUUUACUAAAGAUAUUGAGCCACGACCAAGUGCCACAUUCUACCCAAAUGAUGAGAGCAAGGACAGGUUUUUUACUAAAGAUAUUGAGCCACGACCAAGUGCCACAUUCUAUCCAAAUGAUGAUACUAAGAACAAGCUUUUUACUAAAGAUAUUGAGCCACGACCAAGUGCCACAUUCUACCCAAAUGAUGAUGCAAACAAAAAGUUUUUUACUAAAGAUAUUGAGCCGCGACCAAGUGUCACAUUCUACCCAAAUAAUGAUAGCAAGAACAAGCUUUUCAUUAAAAAUAUUGAGUCACGACUAAGUACCACGGAAUGAUUACGCCAAGAACAACCUUUUCAGGAAAGAUAUGCAAUCCUUUGGUUACGUUAUAUGAUC
This 1049-nucleotide long non-coding RNA is filed under the name Cucumis sativus (cucumber). RNAcentral describes it as "long non-coding RNA (CSAT_LNC002805)". Lineage: Eukaryota; Viridiplantae; Streptophyta; Magnoliopsida; Cucurbitales; Cucurbitaceae. The record is from RNAcentral.